Molecule: ribosomal RNA, 1238 nt
Filed under: Candidatus Phytoplasma citri
Lineage: Bacteria; Bacillati; Mycoplasmatota; Mollicutes; Acholeplasmatales; Acholeplasmataceae
Description: bacterial SSU rRNA
Rfam family: Bacterial small subunit ribosomal RNA
Source: RNAcentral
GCUAAGACUGGAUAGGAAGAAAUAAGGCAUCUUUUUUCUUUUAAAAGACCUAGUGAUAGGUAUACUUUAGGAGGGGCUUGCGCCAUAUUAGUUAGUUGGUAGGGUAAUGGCCUACCAAGACGAUGAUGUGUAGCUGGACUGAGAGGUUGAACAGCCACAUUGGGACUGAGACACGGCCCAAACUCCUACGGGAGGCAGCAGUAGGGAAUUUUCGGCAAUGGAGGAAACUCUGACCGAGCAACGCCGCGUGAACGACGAAGUACUUUGGUAUGUAAAGUUCUUUUAUCAAGGAAGAAAAGCAAGUGGUGAACCAUUUGUUUGCCGGUACUUGAUGAAUAAGCCCCGGCUAAUUAUGUGCCAGCAGCCGCGGUAAGACAUAAGGGGCAAGUGUUAUCCGGAAUUAUUGGGCGUAAAGGGUGCGUAGGCGGUCUAGUAAGUCAGUGGUGUAAUGGCAACGCUCAACGUUGUCCGGCUAUUGAAACUGCUAAACUUGAGUUAGAUAGAGGCGAGUGGAAUUCCAUGUGUAGCGGUAAAAUGCGUAAAUAUAUGGAGGAACACCAGAGGCGUAGGCGGCUCGCUGGGUCUUAACUGACGCUGAGGCACGAAAGCGUGGGGAGCAAACAGGAUUAGAUACCCUGGUAGUCCACGCCGUAAACGAUGAGUACUAAGUGUCGGGUUAAACCGGUACUGAAGUUAACACAUUAAGUACUCCGCSUGAGUAGUACGUACGCAAGUAUGAAACUUAAAGGAAUUGACGGGACUCCGCACAAGCGGUGGAUCAUGUUGUUUAAUUCGAAGAUACCCGAAAAACCUUACCAGGUCUUGACAUGUUUUUGCGAAACGGUAGUAAUAUCGUGGAGGUUAUCAGAAACACAGGUGGUGCAUGGUUGUCGUCAGCUCGUGUCGUGAGAUGUUAGGUUAAGUCCUAAAACGAGCGAAACCCUUAUCGUUAGUUGCCAGCACGUUAUGGUGGGGACUUUAACGAGACUGCCAGUGAUAAAUUGGAGGAAGGUGAGGAUCACGUCAAAUCAGCAUGCCCCUUAUGACCUGGGCUACAAACGUGAUACAAUGGCUGUUACAAAGGGUAGCUGAAACGCAAGUUCUUGGCCAAUCCCCAAAAACAGUCUCAGUCCGGAUUGAAGUCUGCAACUCGACUUCAUGAAGUUGGAAUCGCUAGUAAUCGCGAAUCAGCAUGUCGCGGUGAAUACGUUCUCGGGGUUUGUACACACCGCCCGUCA